Stegodyphus mimosarum is the source of this 46-nucleotide non-coding RNA. NCBI's taxonomy places the organism in Eukaryota, Metazoa, Arthropoda, Arachnida, Araneae, Eresidae. The record is from Rfam.
CAACAGGCUUUAUUUAAAGCUAUGUUUUGGUUAAAAAACUUUUCAU